RNAcentral lists this small nuclear RNA (107 nucleotides) under Phocoena sinus (vaquita). The record is from RNAcentral. Lineage: Eukaryota; Metazoa; Chordata; Mammalia; Artiodactyla; Phocoenidae.
GUGCUUGCUUCAGCAGCACAUAUACUAAAAUUGGAAGGAUACAGAGAAGAUUAGCAUGACCCCUGCACAAGGAUGACACACAAAUUCGUGAAGCGUUCCAUAUUUAA